RNAcentral lists this microRNA (24 nucleotides) under Rattus norvegicus (Norway rat). RNAcentral's name for it is "rno-miR-344-5p (Mir344-1)". The record is from RNAcentral. Lineage: Eukaryota; Metazoa; Chordata; Mammalia; Rodentia; Muridae.
UCAGGCUCCUGGCUAGAUUCCAGG